This is a long non-coding RNA of Daphnia magna, 754 nucleotides long. RefSeq lists it as uncharacterized. The transcript is spliced from 2 exons. NCBI's taxonomy places the organism in Eukaryota, Metazoa, Arthropoda, Branchiopoda, Diplostraca, Daphniidae. The record is from RefSeq and is a predicted model, not a curated record.
AGUUCAAACUGCCAAAACGAAAAAAGAUAAAAGUUCAGGGCUUACCUCAUGGCAUGCGAUAGAUUUCGUCUUCUUUCACCGUUGGGGCUCGCCGUAGCAACUGUUCGUGGCAUUUUCCUUGCUACGCCGUCCAGAAAACGUUCACGAAAGUUUUGGCACAAGACAAAUCUGUAUUUGCCGGUAUUGUCUAGAAAAGUUAUGAACGACCGGGUACACAAAGCGAGACGGUACUGCACUGCACUGCUGUUGCUGACUGAGAGUCUGAGACUGAUAUCGACGUUGUCAAGCUUUCUUAAAUGCCUACUGGAGCUUAAUACUUUCAUAAUUACACUACAAUAAAUCAGCAUACGUCACCAGUUCUUAUUUGCAUGCCUUAAGUUUUCAAAACCUUUUUUUCCUAUUUAUGUUACCAUUCCUCCUUUUAUGGCAGCCAUCAUUGUUUUCAAUAGCCUGCAGCCGCCUGCAGCCAAUGUGUGCCAUAGGCAAGACGAAAUUUUGCAACUGUUUGGGAUGACACUCUUUUAUCAUUGUUUCGUAUGAAUAUAAUUAGUUAAUCGAGUAAGCGGUGUUUUCAUGAAUGAAUAUUGAAAUUAGUUUAAUUGGGCUAACUUAACAUAAAUUCGUGCAACAUUAACUCUAGUAAUUUUACAACCCAUUUUGUACUAACCAUGACGUUCUUUGUAUUAUCUGCCUCUCUGAUGAGAAAUGAUAAAACAAUAAUAAAACAUAAAUAGUAUAAUAAAUAAAACAACAA